Molecule: ribosomal RNA, 492 nt
Filed under: uncultured bacterium
Lineage: Bacteria
Description: partial 16S ribosomal RNA
Rfam family: Bacterial small subunit ribosomal RNA
Source: RNAcentral
AGUGAACGCUGGCGGUAGGCCUAACACAUGCAAGUCGAACGGCAGCACAGUAAGAGCUUGCUCUUACGGGUGGCGAGUGGCGGACGGGUGAGGAAUACAUCGGAAUCUACUUUUUCGUGGGGGAUAACGUAGGGAAACUUACGCUAAUACCGCAUACGACCUACGGGUGAAAGCAGGGGAUCUUCGGACCUUGCGCGAUUGAAUGAGCCGAUGUCGGAUUAGCUAGUUGGCGGGGAAAAGGCCCACCAAGGCGACGAGCCGUAGCUGGUGUGAGAGGAUGACCACCAAGACUGGAACUGAGCCACGGUCAAGAUUCCUACGGGAGGAGGCAGUGGGGAAUAUUGGACAAUGGGCGCAAGCCUGAUCCAGCCAUACGGCGUGGGUGAAGAAGGCCUUCGGGUUGUAAAGCCCUUUUGUUGGGAAAGAAAAGCAGCAGGUUAAUACCCCGCUGUUCUGACGGUACCCAAAGAAUAAGCACCGGCUAACUUCGUG